AAUUUUUCUAACUGUAUAUAUGUGCUGUGUGUACCCCUAGCCAUUAAAAAACUAGUUGUUAAUUUCAUUCGCUGCAAUCUCUCUUAAGUUAGCUCCCAGCUCUCACUUCCGUUUACUUGAAUGUUUAGGGUGGUGGAUGAACGAGACGAAUGCAUUGCGCUCCUAAGAAGAUUCUGAACUGCCGAGGCUACCCAACUAGCUGCGAGUAGACAAGCGAGGCAUGGCUUGGUUACUGACUGCGGUUACUGCGCGAGCGCCGACGCGGCGGGGCGGGGCUUGCUCGGCCCGUUCGGGCUACUCGUGCUGGUCGAAAACGGCCUGUCAGAGCAGACCGCUGUCUACUUCGACCUGGUCAAGGGUGCGGACGGGAAGCUCAGCACUCACUUCUGCCAAGACGCCUUCAGGUAUGCACACAUCGAUCUUAAAUCUACACGCGCUUCCAAUUACAGUGUACUACGCCAUGUUGUUUCAGUAUUUUUGAUGUAAUAACAUCUUUUCUUGUGGGAUGGAGGGAGUGGCAUCUAUCUAUCUUACCUUGCUGAGAAACUACUUGCCAUCUCAAAUCAUGUUUGUCAGGUCAUUGAAGGCGAACAUUCUCAUCAAGGCCGUUUACGGCAGCUUCGUCCCUGUACUUGAUGGAGAAAAUCUGCCAAGCAGAACAGGAAGAAUGUCAUGCCGGCCCACAUCAUCAAGCACACCAUGGAGAUCAUACACCUCCUCACCGACGCCAACCCCAUAUUCCCUUCUCUCCUUCCUUGAGAUAGCUUGUAUUAUAUGAUGCACGCCCCGAUGCUCCCCUCGGUCUGGGCACCCGAUGCCAGGCAGGCUGUGGAUGCCCCAGACCUCAAGGCCGGCCGUGCUACUCCAGCUGCUCCUGCCCCGGCCAUGCUCAA
This is a non-coding RNA of Triticum urartu, 893 nucleotides long. The record is from RefSeq and is a predicted model, not a curated record. Lineage: Eukaryota; Viridiplantae; Streptophyta; Magnoliopsida; Poales; Poaceae.